AGCGAACGCUGGCGGCAGGCCUAACACAUGCAAGUCGAACGAAGUCUUCGGACUUAGUGGCGGACGGGUGAGUAACACGUGGGAACGUGCCUUUAGGUUCGGAAUAACUCAGGGAAACUUGUGCUAAUACCGAAUGUGCCCUUCGGGGGAAAGAUUUAUCGCCUUUAGAGCGGCCCGCGUCUGAUUAGCUAGUUGGUGGGGUAAUGGCCCACCAAGGCUACGAUCAGUAGCUGGUCUGAGAGGAUGACCAGCCACAUUGGGACUGAGACACGGCCCAAACUCCUACGGGAGGCAGCAGUGGGGAAUCUUGCGCAAUGGGCGAAAGCCUGACGCAGCCAUGCCGCGUGGAGGAAGAAGGCCUUCGGGUUGUAAACUGCUUUUGCGUGGGAAGAAUUUUGACGGUACCACGAGAAUAAGGGGUUGCUAACUCUGUGCCAGCCGCCGCCGUAA
Molecule: ribosomal RNA, 450 nt
Filed under: uncultured bacterium
Lineage: Bacteria
Description: partial 16S ribosomal RNA
Rfam family: Bacterial small subunit ribosomal RNA
Source: RNAcentral